CCUACGGGAGGCUGCAGUGGGGAAUAUUGCACAAUGGGGGAAACCCUGAUGCAGCGACGCCGCGUGAGUGAAGAAGUAUUUCGGUACGUAAAGCUCUAUCAGCAGGGAAGAAAAUGACGGUACCUGACUAAGAAGCCCCGGCUAACUACGUGCCAGCAGCCGCGGUAAUACGUAGGGGGCAAGCGUUAUCCGGAUUUACUGGGUGUAAAGGGAGCGUAGACGGCCAGACAAGUCAGAAGUGAAAGCCCAGGGCUCAACCCUGGGACUGCUUUUGAAACUGCCGGGCUGGAGUGCAGGAGAGGUAAGCGGAAUUCCUAGUGUAGCGGUGAAAUGCGUAGAUAUUAGGAGGAACACCAGUGGCGAAGGCGGCUUACUGGACUGUAACUGACGUUGAGGCUCGAAAGCGUGGGGAGCAAACAGGAUUAGAUACCCUUGUAGUC
This 440-nucleotide ribosomal RNA is filed under the name uncultured bacterium. Its description in RNAcentral is "partial 16S ribosomal RNA". It matches the Rfam family "Bacterial small subunit ribosomal RNA", at positions 338 to 795 of the family's 1533-position model. The record is from RNAcentral.